Molecule: long non-coding RNA, 2677 nt
Filed under: Lactuca sativa (garden lettuce)
Lineage: Eukaryota; Viridiplantae; Streptophyta; Magnoliopsida; Asterales; Asteraceae
Description: long non-coding RNA (LSAT_LNC000207)
Source: RNAcentral
GAAUAUUGCAUUCUUGAUUCUUUGACAAUCCGCAAUUACAAAUGUUGCAUAACUUUGAAGGAAAGCAUCGUUUUACAAAGCAUUGAUAUACCACCUUUUAAAGAGGUGCACAAAAAAUCGAAUUCAUCUGAUUUCGGUAUUUUUUUUUUUUUUUUAAAUCCAGUUUUCAAAUGAUCGGAUUUCGGAUAAUCUAGGUUGCAUUUUGGGUGGGUACUACUAGAUCCAGUGUAAGUGGAUUCAAAUCCGUUAAAAACCAGGUAAUCAUUAAAACAAACACAUGCUUUCAUAUCGGUUAAAAAAUGCAUUUUCAACAACAUACAAAUAAUCGUAAAAGCAAUCACGUAUUUUCGUUGAUUCGGGAGUGAGUCUUGACUUUCAUUUCGAAAUAAUCAUGUCACUAAGAGAAAAAAAUGAAUUUUGAAGCUACAGUAGAUGCUUUGACAUUUGGGAAAUCAUAGGUCAUAGUGUCUGGAAUCGAAAAUUAUUGUUCAUUUUUUUCGUCCAACCCAAAAUAUCUAGAUUUUUUAAUUCUUCAACAAUAAAACAGGAUAAAAAAAAAUGAUGUCACGUAAUUUCCCUAUUUCCUAUUUGGGGCAGAUCGUGUUUUAGUAUAUUUUAAUAAAGUAUUAUAAAACUGGUAAUUAGCAUAUUUGGUCACAUCUAUAUGAUUCCCCACCAGUCCCCUUCUCUUAUGAGUUAUGAUCAAUUGUUAGAUUGCUUUGUUGAACACAUUUGCUUAAAUAUAUGGUUAUACAUGAAUAUUGGUAAAUGGGAGCACAAGUAAAAAAACCAAAGAUAACUUCAUAAAACAUUUUAAAAUUUAGUAUUUUGUUUGAUUAAUAAUAUUAAAUUUUAAUUUAAUUUAAUUUUUAAAAAAAAUGUAGCAACUCAAAUUCCUUUACUUUUUUCUGUCAUUAAAAGUAUGUGAUUGAGAACUAAGGCCACUGGCAUGGAGUAAACACCCUAUAAAUAAGCUGUUGCUUCUUUAAAAUGAUCAACAUAUUUCAUAAAAUCCUGAUUACAUUUCAGUCCUCAUCAGGAUUGCAAUGGCUUUGUCUUCUACUAGCAAAAUCAUGAAAAGGUUUUAGCAUGGUUUUUUAUCAUAACAGGGUUUCAAACAUAAAAUAAUCAUUUAUGUCUAUUAAAUUCGGUAAAAAGGGUAACAAUAGUAAUAUAAGGAAAAAAAAUCAAAAACAAUUACUUUAUACUGGUUACCCAAAUUGCUUGCAUUUCAACAUAUCAUGAUUGUUUUUAACAUCACUUUAUUAUUUUCGUUUUCUUUUUAUUUAUUUUAUAUUUGGCCUAAUUAUCUGUAGCUGAAAGGAAAAAAAAAUAUCCAACUUUGUAACCAAAUUGGAUUCACAUCUUAAAUCAUAUGAUAUUACAUACCAUCUGAAAUCCAGAUGUCUAACUUGAAAUUUUGCUUUAUGGACAAAACGAUUUUUUACUAUUGAACUUCUAAACAAAACCAACAAAUUCAGAUGUUUUAACUUUAAAGUAUUCAUGCUAAGUAUAUCUGGCUAAUCAAACAAGAACUCAUUUAUGACAAAAUGUGCUCAGUAUCAUAAACAUUUUAAUUGACUCCUCCUGAUCUCAACCCCCUUUACCAGUAAAGAUAAAGAAAUCCAAUCAUAUUUGAACAAACAAAAAGACAAAAACGGUCGGGUUUUGAUAUAAUUGAUGCAUAAACAAGACCAAAAGCACAGUACAAUAGUAAUUAAGGUUCAAGAAAACUUCAGAACUCAAUGGUAACAAGAGUCUGACAAAAAUGUUCAAAAUAUGGCUAAAGAAAAAAGAUAACACUCUGACUGAAAAUGGUGCAGAUAACAAAACAAACUCAAUUGUCACCCUCCUCUAUCUUUCCCUUGUCACUAACAUAAAUACCAUCAAGAAACUUUCGGAUAUCCUUGUUCUUCACAUGACAUUUCUACAUAUACAACAAAAUCACAAACACCAAACCAUUAUGAGAUGAUAAAAACAGAUAAAAAACGGAGAAGAUUGAUUAUUUGAUAUAAAAACUCCUAUGUGAGAAAGAAUACCUGGUUAAUUAGGGCACAUGAUCGAGAAACAAGUUCAAUGUCAUUUCCAUCAAGUAUCAAUUCAUCCUUGACCUUCUCGGAUCUGACCACAGUCACUCCAUCAAGCAUAUCCACCUUCCUCACCUGUUUGUAAACAAAAAAGAUAUAUUAACCAAACAAAUUCGAAAAAACAGAGAUAAACUAAGUUCGUAGUACUAUGAUAACCAAGACUUCUAGGUUAUAAGAUAGAAAUCUAGCGCAAAUGAUAUAACCAAUGUCAUAUGAUAACAUACAUAACAACGCAAAUGCUUAGUAUGUAAAGGUCAAAGAGAAAAAUUAACUCAAAACGAGAAAAUAUGCAUCUAAAAUCAAAUCGAACUGUGUGCAGAAGCUUAUGCAAAUAAUCGAUCAUAAUAUGUAAUGUCAAAAAAACAAUAAACAUGAUAACAAACAAAUAGAAUGGAAUACAUACCUUCUUUUCACCAAGAAAGUUACGGAUUUCAAUCGCAGAGUUGGUGUUGCUAAUGCUAGCGUUGAUUGGAAAGUGAGCGUACACAAAUCUCAUCUUGUAACGGAACCCCUGAGUAACACCGGUGAUUAGGUUGCCGACGUGACUAAGUGCAGUACGGAUGGCGGCGGUGGUCUUGCGAGAUCCGAAC